ACUCCUACGGGAGGCAGCAGUGGGAAUAUUGCACAAUGGGCGCAAGCCUGAUGCAGCCAUGCCGCGUGUGUGAAGAAGGCCUUCGGGUUGUAAAGCACUUUCAGUCGUGAGGAAGGUAGUGUAGUUAAUAGCUGCAUUAUUUGACGUUAGCGACAGAAGAAGCACCGGCUAACUCCGUGCCAGCAGCCGCGGUAAUACGGAGGGUGCAAGCGUUAAUCGGAAUUACUGGGCGUAAAGCGCGCGUAGGUGGCUUGAUAAGCCGGUUGUGAAAGCCCGGGCUGCAACCUGGGAACGGCAUCCGGAACUGUCAAGCUAGAGUGCAGGAGAGGAAGGUAGAAUUCCCGGUGUAGCGGUGAAAUGCGUAGAGAUCGGGAGGAAUACCAGUGGCGAAGGCGGCCUUCUGGACUGACACUGACACUGAGGUGCGAAAGCGUGGGUAGCAAACAGGAUUAGAUACCCUGGUAGGCUCUG
Molecule: ribosomal RNA, 471 nt
Filed under: uncultured bacterium
Lineage: Bacteria
Description: bacterial SSU rRNA
Rfam family: Bacterial small subunit ribosomal RNA
Source: RNAcentral